UACGAUCUCUGGAGAGGCCCUUUAAGGUAGUCAUACUAUGAUCCUUGAUGCUCAAUGAGUUUGCCUUAGCUUCUGCAGACUCUUGAUCAGCUCAUUAGACACCAAAUCUAUUUGAAGCCUAUCUAUUACAUUUCAAGAUAUAGAUCAACCUAACAUCUUUGAUCUCUUUAUGUAUACAUUCAUUUACAGAAUGAUGAACAUUGAAAGCUUAGAUCAACCUAACAAUUUUGAUCUAUCACUGAGUCCUUGUACAUAUAUUCCUUGAAGGACUUCACAUAUAAUCAUGAACAUUUACUUUAAACAUCAAAUCAAGAUAGCCAUUCUUCUAACAAUC
RNAcentral lists this long non-coding RNA (334 nucleotides) under Panax ginseng (ginseng). Its description in RNAcentral is "long non-coding RNA (PGIN_LNC018046)". The record is from RNAcentral. Lineage: Eukaryota; Viridiplantae; Streptophyta; Magnoliopsida; Apiales; Araliaceae.